Molecule: long non-coding RNA, 4770 nt
Organism: Pezoporus flaviventris
Lineage: Eukaryota; Metazoa; Chordata; Aves; Psittaciformes; Psittacidae
Exons: 2
Source: RefSeq, a predicted model, not a curated record
AGUAUGGGAUGAUAGAUGGUCCCACGCAGACCUCAACCCAUCGUUUGGUCUCUUUACUGUCAUUUCUGGCUAUUUCCACGCAAAGCUGCUGCGCAUGGAUAGACCACAAUUGUUCUGUCAACUAUUUUAUCACAUUCAGGCUGCAUCUGGUUACAUUAUUCAUCCUCUGUGUGGAUCUGUGAAAUCCCCAAACACCUCACGUGUCACGAGGCAAAACAACUCAAUGGGUUUAACAGCUAAAAUAGACCAGAGCUUCAGGUGGCUCAUUUUCCUCCAUGAGGGCUCUUUAUUCCUCAUGCUUGAGAGUGCCAAUAUUACAACAAAACAAGUUGGCCUCAAAAGGCCCAGUCAAACACACAACGUUGCAAAUCCACCCAGUGUGGUCACCCACAUUGUCAUCUGAUCUCAAUUUUUGUCUUCCUUGGAAAUCUGCACCUUUGUUAGGGUCCACACAGUCACCUCUGAAGUUCUCUGCUUCCCAGAAAAACCCCACGCAAGCUGUAUUUCAUAACUGGUUCCUUAUCUUUGGAGCACCUGUGAGGGGAAUGGGCAGGAUAAGCCUGAGUUAACCCUUCGGCAGAGUUUCAGGCCUGUGUGUGUGAACAAAAGCAUCAGAAUGAGCGGGGAAGUGGUGAAAGUACAAGACAGAGGAGAUCAGUGACCUGAGAUCACACACCCACAACAAAUCUGCUGCAAAAGUCAUGCUAUCCACAAGGUAAGGAGCGAAUGCUUCUGAUUCUCCUUUAAUUGCAUUCUUGGUAGGGGCUGAGGCAACAUUAACAGCCACUGCAUGCUGCUGCAUGACCCUUCGUUGCAACACAUCUAGGUGGAAGUGCUAAUAGAUUCCUUCUGGUCUUGUUCACUUCAUGACAGCAGCGAGGGAAGGAAGCUGUGUAAAAGUCCCAGCGUCUUCCUGAGCUGCCAGCUCUCCACUGCCUCUGCAGGUUUAUGCCCACUUUGGUUUUAUUCAGGCAGAAAACGCUCAGCCUUCACGACCAGAGCGUAAUGUUAGAAUAUUCCCCUCCAUGAAAUCCUCACGAGAAAGUAAUAUAGGAGCUAAUCUCAGGCGGUAGGGACAUUGUAAGUUUUCACUGAUAUUAGCACUGAGAAGUAUAAGACCAUUUUUAUUACUUAAUCUGCAAGUUAAUUUUUAAAUGGAAUGCAGAUAUAAACAAUGCUGGGUUUAAGCACAUUACAGAGCUGUCAGGCUUUGACAAUUUAAAUGAAUGAGACUUCAAAACGUAUUAUAGAAAAGAUUAAAUGCCUCAUUGAAAUACGCACAAAAUAAAAAUGAAAUCCAUCAGCAAAAUUAAAUUACUUCAAAACUUACUAAAAUUAAGUCUAAAACAAAGGCCUCUCCUGCCAGGUAAGUGAUUUCAUGGUGGGUGAAACUUUAUCUGAAAGCAGCUUUAAUUUCCAACUGACUUCAGAUGACAAAUAAUUUGCUAUUGUUAGAUCUUUUCUAGCCUGAGCACUUUGUAAAACAAGAUGAUAUGAUUAACUUCAUUUUACAUAUACAAAGCAGUGUUUAAGAGGUUUAAGCAUAGGUCAAGCAAGAGUGAUGGAAUCACCAACCAGAACAGUGUCAGGGUCUCCUUGUUGUCCUGUUUCCUGCCAUAAGCUCUCUGUGUGACUCUGUCACUUGUAGCCCAUUUUUUCCUUACAACUUACUUGGGCUAAAAGCCAUUUUCAGGCUUUAGUUCAGAUUAUGAAGCAGCCAAUUUUGAGUUUCUUGUAAAUCACAAGGUAGGCAGAGUAUAGUCAUUAAUCUAAGAAGGCAAAAUUAGUAAUACAGAACUUUGAAAUUUCUUGGCCAAACUCAGCAUUGUAGUAAGUAAUAAAUAAUUUCUUUGGUGAUAGUAUUGCCUCUACUUAGUAUGAGUAUCGUUCUUUAGAGCUGAAUAUGGGCUUGAGUCUGUUUCAGGCUGAGCUUCUCUGUCACUACCAACUUACUUACCCCCUUAAAAUGCAACAGAAAAUUUUGGAUUGGUCUAAAUGGAGUGUUGAAUAGGAAUGCCAGGAGAGGGAGCACCAGGAGGAGCAAAUGGUAGGAGAAGGGUACAAGAAUGGCAUUUGGUGAUGGCAUCUGGACUAGCAGGUUGCCAGGAUUGCAGCAUGCAUCUGCCUGCGUGGGGCCUGUCCACCUGUGAGAGCCAGAGGAACGUCUUUCCAGAAUCACCACUGUCAGCUCCUACAACAGCUGAAAGGCCGCACAUGGAAGAAUUGAGACCUGAGGAUGAACAUCACUCGGCCUUCAGCUCAUCCUGACGUGAAACAGAGCGAUGGACACAAGCACUUCACCUGAGGGUCCUACCUGAACACUGUGUGGUGCUUCAAGCAUGCAUGAUUCUAUGCUUAAAACCAGCUGCGUUCUACUUUUUUUUUUUACCUCCUCAGGUGUGAGGUGCAGGUGUGCUGUGCUGUUGCUGUAGUGUUGUUCUGUCAUUUCCUGUGCAACAGUCUUUUUGCUCAUGUUCAAGACCAAAAGAUAUGAAGGUUUAGGGUUUUGCAGCAGAGGAUGCAUUUCACUAAAGAAAAACAAAGCUCCAAGCCGGGGCCCAGGAUGCUUUUAACACACUGAUUUAACAUCUUUUCUGAACCUCUUACUUUUACAACUUUGCAAACACACUUUAGCUGAAAUUAAUGCACAACCCCGUAAAGGUGAAUGGGUUGUUUCACAUUCAGACAGCGAUUUAGCAUGUUCCAGUUCACACAAUCACCUUGGCCUAGCUGCAGACUGCGGGGCUCGAAAGAGCACGGCGGCACGCCUGGAGGAAAUCCUUCCCCAGGAUGGUUGUUGGAGGCAGCGCCUGCUCCCAGCACCACUCGGGGAAGCCUUAAUGAAAAGCAGCUCAUCAGCAGUUACGUAACCUAAUGAUAAUCCGGCUCAGGCCGGGCAAUACUUAAAGCCACAGCGUCUCUCUGCCAUGACCUAUUUUAUGCUCCAUGCAAGGGCAAAAGUAUGUGGUUUGUAACUUUGCUGGGUCUUUUACCGCGGAGUUAUUGCCUGUCAGUAGGAAAGCCCCCUGCGCACGUUUCUUCUGCUUUCCUGGCUGCAAAGCAGCCGCUUCAGAUUUGUCAGUGGCUUUUUAUGGUAUCGGCUCCAAGCACAGGCACAGUAGAGAGCAAAUUGUAAACAAUUAAAAGGAAAACACUUCAUGUCCUGCAGGAAACUCAGCUUACUUUAAUUUCAGCCUCAGAAGCUGCAAAGGGUCUGGGGAUAUGUUGUGAAGCACUUCUAAUGCCAUAUUGAACAACACAGAAAGCUUUUGUGUUUUUAUUAGACCUCAGAGAAGAAAAAUGUAUGUUUCCAUAUUCCAGGGUCAUAUUUACAUUUGUCUUAAGAAAUUCAUUAGGAUGGCACUGGCAUAACUCACACUAGUACGAGUGGUAGCCUCCUGUAAUCAUUUUUUUUUUUUACCUCUCAAUCUGCAGAAGUAUCAACAAGAGAUUAAACACAGAGAUGUUGCUUCAGAUCUCAGCAUUUAAUCUGACCACAGAUGGUGUCAAAAGAGGGACAGCCAUGCAAAAAAGCAACAGAUUUUUUUCCUAAGCAAUCACUUUUUUGUUUAAUAAAGAUAGAGGACAAGUAGCCAUGUAUAAGAUAUAGAGGAAAAACCUCAGUUUCCUACAGUUCCUCUCCUAGAGAACUUUGAAGCAAUAUUAAUGGCCUGAUUUCUGUUAAUGAUUAAUAAUGCAUUUAUAUUUAUGGGCUUUAAAGUUACUAUUGUUACUAAUUCCUAUCUUUCAUAGGAUAAAUAUUUCAUUCCUUAUAACACUGGGUGAGUUAAUAACAUGGCUGGUUUCAAAAAUAAGGUUAUAAAGUUGUGCUGACUGUAAGAAUACAGCCUGUUUCGUGUAGGUGUACUCAGCGUGGAUGACACUUAUAUUUACAUAACAUAACCUGUUGUUUUCCAAUAGUGAUGCCAAAGCUUCAUAUUUACUGCCACAAGGAAUACCAGGAAUUGCAAAAAUAUGCUACCACUACACUAUCAGAUCAUAUGGAUCUGCUGAUCUCUUACAGGUUGAAAAAGUUGUUAAAGCUAAUUCAGAGCAUUUUCUUAAAGCUGAUUUUUAUUGCCCGACAUGAGACAGCUUAAGGUCAGAAAUCUGAUUACUUUCAAAAAUAUUUACAAAACUUAAUAUUUGUCCUGCUUUUGGCUGGGAUAGAGUUAAUUUUCUUCUUAGUAGGUGGUACAGUGCUUACUUUAUUUCAAUUAUUAAACUGUUCUUAUCUCAAACCAGGAGUUUUACCUCCCCCCCCCCCCCCCCCCCGAUUCUCCUCCCCAUCCCACUGGGGGUGGGAUGUGAGUGAGCAGCUGUGUGGUACUUAGUUGUGUGCUGGGUUAAACCACACCAGUGUUGGUAGAAAUAUUUAAUGACAUUUAAAAGGAAUAAUAUUAACCAAAACCAAAUUGUUGUGAUCACGUUUGUUGGCUUUCGAAAUGUCUUCCUGAGCCUGCAACCAAAACACUGCCACAUUGUACUAGCAUUUAAGAAAGUGGAACUAAAUGUAGAUUAUUAAAAUAACAUUGCUGAUUAUAAACUCCAAAGAGAAAUCAUGUAACCUCAUUUUGUUACUUCAUCUGAGUGAAAGGCUAAAAAAAAGGGGGGGGUAGAAAAUACAAUUUAGUCAUCUCAGGUAUUACUAAUCACAGAAGUAAAAUGUAUAUUAAAUGCAUUUAACCAUGCUUCAGAGCUCUUUAAAGUGGACUCAUUAAAUCAGAUGUGAAGGAGUUGCUUCUAGAUGAUGAAGGGGUAAGGGUUAAC